This 269-nucleotide ribosomal RNA is filed under the name uncultured prokaryote. RNAcentral's name for it is "partial 16S ribosomal RNA". It matches the Rfam family "Bacterial small subunit ribosomal RNA", at positions 509 to 776 of the family's 1533-position model. The record is from RNAcentral.
CAGCAGCCGCGGUAAGACGUAGGGGGCAAGCGUUGUCCGGAUUUAUUGGGCGUAAAGAGCUCGUAGGCGGCUCAGAAAGUCGGGUGUGAAACCUCCAGGCUCAACCUGGAGACGCCACCUGAUACUGCUGUGGCUAGAGUCCGGUAGGGGAACACGGAAUUCCCGGUGUAGCGGUGAAAUGCUUAGAUAUCGGGAGGAACACCAGUGGCGAAGGCGGUGUUCUGGGCCGGAACUGACGCUGAGGAGCGAAAGCGUGGGUAGCAAACAGG